Catharus ustulatus (Swainson's thrush) is the source of this 1292-nucleotide long non-coding RNA. RefSeq lists it as uncharacterized. The record is from RefSeq and is a predicted model, not a curated record. The transcript has 4 exons. NCBI's taxonomy places the organism in Eukaryota, Metazoa, Chordata, Aves, Passeriformes, Turdidae.
AGCUGCUGGAACUGAAAAGGAGCCUGGCUGCCUGCAUUCCCUGAAAAAGGAAGCUCAAGGGGAUGCAGGGAGCUGAAAAUGGUUGCAACUUUUCAGGUACUGGCAGUGUGAAACAAUGGAUAGCAGAGGAAAUAAGGGUCAUGUAAAAAGAAGAGAAGCAGACGGAAAAUGCAUUUUUGGGAGUAGCUGAAUAGCCGUGGAGCACAGGAAAAAUAACAGCCAAGUGAUGGUGCUGCCUUUUUUGUGCCUUAAAUGCUGGAAUGGAAACCUCAGCUGCAAGAAUUUGCUGGAGCACCUCUAAAGAGAAGGUGCAUGCACUGAACAGAAAACAAUAAAUCACAUCGCAAAUGCCCCAUUAUCAAUUUAAGGCAGCAUCUCAUCCAUUAAUAUAGAGUGAAUCCUUUUCUGUUGCAUAACAGUGGAGCAUGUCUUGGAGUCCGCAGAGAAGGAAAAUAGUCCUGUGCAUAGGGAAGAUGUCUGCUGGGAUUUCACUGUCCACUUGAGCUUGAGUUUUCACUCCAAACUUGCAGAGGUCUAGAAAUACACAAGGAUUGUAGUAUUUACUCAAAAUUAGUAUCUACAUGCUGAAAAAAAUACUCCCUAGCCUGGAGCCAAACACUGAGAGGGCCAAGAAGAAUGAAAAAACAAUUUCUCUCUUCUGAUGGUAGUGAAGAGGUGUUCAUGGAGGAACACAUCACAUAGGGAAGUCAGCUACUAGCCAGGCAAAGGAAUGCAAGCACCUUCUAACUUCUCCUUUUAUCAUGUGCUGUGAUGUUAGAAAUACCUAUCCCCAAGUGGAAUACAGCCUGUAAAAAUUCCAGUAGCUGUCACCUAACUGAUAUUUGCCAGUAAUGGACUUGGACAGAAAAAGAAGGUAGGAAAACACCAGUGAAAACUCGGGUCUAAUAUUGCCUUCACUAGAGGGAACUGUGGGAAAUAGGAAAGGUAUGAAACUCUCAGACAGCUAUGUGAAAGCAAAUCUCAGGAUGGAGAAAUGCAAGAAAGUUAAAGAUGCAAGGUCAAGAAACAAUAAAACCAUGAGCUGUGUAGAGACCGACCUCAGGAAAACAUGUUAAGCAAGAUAGUAGAAAUAUGUAAGCUUAAUAAUAAACCUUUAUCCAUUGGUUUUAAGCUAUUACAAGCAAGCAUUGUUCAAAGCAAGAUGUACAUGUAGCUUUAUUAAUUGGCUUAAGCAAACACUUGUCAGCUUUUAACACUACUCUAUUGGCUAAAAAGCUUUUAAAAGACCAUGUAACUAAGAGAACUUUGCUGUUGUAAGCAGCUGAAGCUGU